GGGCCUGUGGUCUAGUCGGCUAUGACGUCGCCUUCACACGGCGGAGGUCAGGGGUUCGAAUCCCUUCGGGCCCA
This 74-nucleotide transfer RNA is filed under the name Methanocella paludicola SANAE. Its description in RNAcentral is "tRNA-Val (CAC) (tRNA-Val-CAC-1-1)". It matches the Rfam family "tRNA". From Rfam's summary of the family: Transfer RNA (tRNA) molecules are approximately 80 nucleotides in length. Lineage: Archaea; Methanobacteriati; Methanobacteriota; Methanomicrobia; Methanocellales; Methanocellaceae. RNAcentral also lists the same sequence under 2 other names. The record is from RNAcentral.